RNAcentral lists this ribosomal RNA (460 nucleotides) under uncultured bacterium. RNAcentral describes it as "partial 16S ribosomal RNA". It matches the Rfam family "Bacterial small subunit ribosomal RNA", at positions 338 to 795 of the family's 1533-position model. The record is from RNAcentral.
CCUACGGGUGGCAGCAGUGAGGAAUAUUGGUCAAUGGGCGGAAGCCUGAACCAGCCAAGCAGCGUGAAGGAUGACGGCCCUACGGGUUGUAAACCGCUUUUAUACGGGAAUAACGCGCCUUACGUGUAGGGCUUUGCAUGUACCGUAUGAAUAAGGAUCGGCUAAUUCCGUGCCAGCAGCCGCGGUAAUACGGAAGGUCCGGGCGUUAUCCGGAUUUAUUGGGUUUAAAGGGGGCGUAGGCCGGAUGUCAAGCGUGCUGUGAAAUGUCCGGGCUCAACCCGGGCCCUGCAGGGGAAACUGGCGUGCUUGAGUCGGCGGGAAGUAUGCGGAAUUCGUGGUGUAGCGGUGAAAUGCUUAGAUAUGGCGAAGAACCCCGAUUGCGAAGGCAGCUUGCUGCAGCCGAACUGACGCUGAGGCACGAAAGCGCGGGUAUCGAACAGGAUUAGAUACCCGUGUAGUC